ACACGUAAGGGGCGAGCGUUGUUCGGAAUUAUUGGGCGUAAAGGGCGUGUAGGCUGUUUUGUAAGCCUGGUGUGAAAGUGCACGGCUUAACUGUGUAUGUGCGCUGGGAACUGCAAGACUAGAGUCCGGAAGGGGGAGGUAGAAUUCCUGGUGUAGGGGUGAAAUCUGUAGAUAUCAGGAAGAAUACCGGUGGCGAAGGCGACCUCCUGGUCCUGGACUGACGCUGAGGCGCGAAAGCGUGGGGAGCGAACAGGAUUAGAUACCCUGGUAGUCCACGCUGUAAACGAUGUGCACUAGGUGUUGGGGCAAGAGCUUCAGUGCCGAAGCGAACGCGAUAAGUGCACCGCCUGGGGAGUAUGCUCGCAAGGGUGAA
RNAcentral lists this ribosomal RNA (373 nucleotides) under uncultured bacterium. Its description in RNAcentral is "bacterial SSU rRNA". It matches the Rfam family "Bacterial small subunit ribosomal RNA", at positions 523 to 898 of the family's 1533-position model. The record is from RNAcentral.